UGGGUUGGCCGAGAGGCGAGGCAGCGGCCUGCAAAGCCGUAUACACGGGUUCGAAUCCCGUACCC
RNAcentral lists this transfer RNA (65 nucleotides) under Paenarthrobacter nicotinovorans. It matches the Rfam family "tRNA". Rfam says of the family: Transfer RNA (tRNA) molecules are approximately 80 nucleotides in length. Their secondary structure includes four short double-helical elements and three loops (D, anti-codon, and T loops). Lineage: Bacteria; Bacillati; Actinomycetota; Actinomycetes; Micrococcales; Micrococcaceae. RNAcentral also lists the same sequence under 12 other names. The record is from RNAcentral.